Molecule: ribosomal RNA, 433 nt
Filed under: uncultured bacterium
Lineage: Bacteria
Description: partial 16S ribosomal RNA
Rfam family: Bacterial small subunit ribosomal RNA
Source: RNAcentral
GACGAACGCUGGCGGCAUGCCUAAUACAUGCAAGUCGAACGAGCCGUUCGGGUCUUGUGGCCCACGGGUGCGUAACGGGUGGGAACCUGACCCUAGGUUAGGCAUCCCUCACCGAAAGGGGUGCUACUACCGGACAAGGUCUUCGGACGAAAGGUUUAUCGCCUUUGGAUGGGCACGCGUGGGAUUAGCUUGUUGGUAUGGUAAAAGCAUACCAAGGCGACGAUUCAUAGCUUGGCUGAGAGGAAGAGCAGCCACACUGAGAAUGAGAAACGGCCCAGACUCCUACGCGAGGGAGCAGUGGGGAAUAGAGGACAAUGGGGUGAAGCAUGAAGCAGCAAGGACGGGUGAGUGAUGAAGGCAUUGGAGUAGUAAAGCUCUUGUAACCGGGAGGAUAAUGACGGUACCUGGAGAAUAAGCUCCGGCUAACUCCGUG